Molecule: ribosomal RNA, 506 nt
Filed under: uncultured bacterium
Lineage: Bacteria
Description: partial 16S ribosomal RNA
Rfam family: Bacterial small subunit ribosomal RNA
Source: RNAcentral
GAUGAACGCUAGCGGCAGGCCUAACACAUGCAAGUCGAGGGGUAACUAGAGUGAUAGCAAUAUUACUUUGGCUAGACCGGCGCACGGGUGCGUAACACGUAUGCAACCUACCUUAUACUGGGGAAUAACUUCGAGAAAUCGGCGCUAAUACCCCAUAACAUUGCGAAGAGGCAUCUCUUUGCAAUUAAAGCUCCGGCGGUAUAAGAUGGGCAUGCGUCCAAUUAGCUAGUUGGUGAGGUAACGGCUCACCAAGGCUACGAUUGGUAGGGGUUCUGAGAGGAUGAUCCCCCACACUGGUACUGAGACACGGACCAGACUCCUACGGGAGGCAGCAGUGAGGAAUAUUGCGCAAUGGACGAAAGUCUGACGCAGCCAUGCCGCGUGCAGGAUGACGGCCCUAUGGGUUGUAAACUGCUUUUGUACGGGAAUAAACCCUUCUACGUGUAGGAGGCUGAAGGUACCGUAAGAAUAAGGACCGGCUAACUACGUGCCAGCCGCCGCAGUAA